ACGAACGCUGGCGGCGUGCCUAAUACAUGCAAGUUGAGCGCUGAAGGUUGGUACUUGUACCAACUGGAUGAGCAGCGAACGGGUGAGUAACGCGUGGGGAAUCUGCCUUUGAGCGGGGGACAACAUUUGGAAACGAAUGCUAAUACCGCAUAAAAACUUUAAACACAAGUUUUAAGUUUGAAAGAUGCAAUUGCAUCACUCAAAGAUGAUCCCGCGUUGUAUUAGCUAGUUGGUGAGGUAAAGGCUCACCAAGGCGAUGAUACAUAGCCGACCUGAGAGGGUGAUCGGCCACAGUGGGACUGAGACACGGCCCAAACUCCUACGGGAGGCAGCAGUAGGGAAUCUUCGGCAAGAGACGAAAGUCUGACCGAGCAACGCCGCGUGAGUGAAGAAGGUUUUCGGAUCGUAAAACUCUGUUGGUAGAGAAGAACGUUGGUGAGAGUGGAAAGCUCAUCAAGUGACGGUAACUACCCAGAAAGGGACGGCUAACUACGUG
This 496-nucleotide ribosomal RNA is filed under the name uncultured bacterium. RNAcentral's name for it is "partial 16S ribosomal RNA". It matches the Rfam family "Bacterial small subunit ribosomal RNA", at positions 29 to 507 of the family's 1533-position model. The record is from RNAcentral.